Molecule: ribosomal RNA, 433 nt
Filed under: uncultured bacterium
Lineage: Bacteria
Description: partial 16S ribosomal RNA
Rfam family: Bacterial small subunit ribosomal RNA
Source: RNAcentral
AACGAACGCUGGCGGCAUGCCUAACACAUGCAAGUCGAACGAGACCUUCGGGUCUAGUGGCGCACGGGUGCGUAACGCGUGGGAACCUGCCCUUAGGUUCGGAAUAACUCCCCGAAAGGGGUGCUAAUACCGGAUAAUGUCUUCGGACCAAAGAUUUAUCGCCUUUGGAUGGGCCCGCGUUGGAUUAGCUAGUUGGUAGGGUAAAAGCCUACCAAGGCGACGAUCCAUAGCUGGUCUGAGAGGAUGAUCAGCCACACUGGGACUGAGACACGGCCCAGACUCCUACGGGAGGCAGCAGUGGGGAAUAUUGGACAAUGGGCGAAAGCCUGAUCCAGCAAUGCCGCGUGAGUGAUGAAGGCCGUAGGGUUGUAAAGCUCUUUUACCCGGGAUGAUAAUGACAGUACCGGGUGAAUAAGCUCCGGCUAACUCCGUG